This 427-nucleotide ribosomal RNA is filed under the name uncultured bacterium. Its description in RNAcentral is "partial 16S ribosomal RNA". It matches the Rfam family "Bacterial small subunit ribosomal RNA", at positions 355 to 774 of the family's 1533-position model. The record is from RNAcentral.
UGGGGAAUAUUGCACAAUGGGCGCAAGCCUGAUGCAGCCAUGCCGCGUGUAUGAAGAAGGCCUUCGGGUUGUAAAGUACUUUCAGCGGGGAGGAAGGCGAUAAGGUUAAUAACCUUGUCGAUUGACGUUACCCGCAGAAGAAGCACCGGCUAACUCCGUGCCAGCAGCCGCGGUAAUACGGAGGGUGCAAGCGUUAAUCGGAAUUACUGGGCGUAAAGCGCACGCAGGCGGUCUGUCAAGUCGGAUGUGAAAUCCCCGGGCUCAACCUGGGAACUGCAUUCGAAACUGGCAGGCUAGAGUCUUGUAGAGGGGGGUAGAAUUCCAGGUGUAGCGGUGAAAUGCGUAGAGAUCUGGAGGAAAACCGGUGGCGAAGGCGGCCCCCUGGACAAAGACUGACGCUCAGGUGCGAAAGCGUGGGGAGCAAACA